Molecule: non-coding RNA, 21 nt
Filed under: Caenorhabditis elegans
Lineage: Eukaryota; Metazoa; Nematoda; Chromadorea; Rhabditida; Rhabditidae
Source: RNAcentral
UUUUGAUAUCUGUCUCAUGUU